Molecule: non-coding RNA, 72 nt
Organism: Baffinella frigidus
Lineage: Eukaryota; Cryptophyceae; Cryptomonadales; Baffinellaceae
Source: the annotation of a GenBank genome assembly
GCUACAAUAGUUCAAAGGUUAGAAUACCAUGUUGUGGCCGUGGUGAUCCUGGUUCGAUUCCAGGUUGUGGCA